This 301-nucleotide ribosomal RNA is filed under the name uncultured bacterium. RNAcentral's name for it is "partial 16S ribosomal RNA". It matches the Rfam family "Bacterial small subunit ribosomal RNA", at positions 509 to 807 of the family's 1533-position model. The record is from RNAcentral.
CAGCCGCCGCGGUAAUACGUAGGGUGCAAGCGUUAUCCGGAAUUAUUGGGCGUAAAGAGCUCGUAGGCGGUUUGUCGCGUCUGCUGUGAAAACUGGAGGCUCAACCUCCAGCCUGCAGUGGGUACGGGCAGACUAGAGUGCGGUAGGGGAGAUUGGAAUUCCUGGUGUAGCGGUGGAAUGCGCAGAUAUCAGGAGGAACACCGAUGGCUAAGGCAGAUCUCUGGGCCGACACUGACACUGAGAGACGAAAUCUAGGGGAGCAAAUGGGAUUAGAUACCCGUGUAGUCCCUGUCUCUUAUAC